ACCAAUGGCCACAUACCCUAAUGCCCCCUAUGCAAGUCCACCUCCUGCUGCUCCCUACUCUGUCCAAUCUCACUUUUCUUAUCCCCAGUAUGCUGUUAAGAAAGAAACUCCUCCUGCACCUACAGGACUUGGGGGAUAUCCUUACUACAUGCCAAAACAAUGAUAAUAAACUAAAGAGCAGCAUACGGUGAGACCACAGGUUAUCACUGUUACUGUUUUAGUUUUGCAGAAUUGAGGGAAGUUAAACAGUUGAACGGUGUUUAAUUUGUUAAGUUUAAGAAAUUAUUAAUAUUGCAGUUGAUUAGUGAAUUUCUGUUUAGACAUGCGAAUUUGUGAAUGCUAUGUGGUGAAACAUGUCAAUUCACAUCAACAUUAUCACCUUGUUCUUCUUAUUCUGUUCAUCUAUGUCAAAUGCAUCUUAAAUAGUGGAUUUUUCCAUGGUGAAA
Molecule: long non-coding RNA, 446 nt
Organism: Olea europaea var. sylvestris
Lineage: Eukaryota; Viridiplantae; Streptophyta; Magnoliopsida; Lamiales; Oleaceae
Exons: 2
Source: RefSeq, a predicted model, not a curated record